Molecule: ribosomal RNA, 510 nt
Filed under: uncultured bacterium
Lineage: Bacteria
Description: partial 16S ribosomal RNA
Rfam family: Bacterial small subunit ribosomal RNA
Source: RNAcentral
GACGAACGCUGGCGGCGUGCUUAACACAUGCAAGUCGAACGAAGAGCGAUGGAAGCUUGCUUCUAUCAAUCUUAGUGGCGCACGGGUGAGUAACGCGUAAUCAACCUGCCCUUCAGAGGGGGACAACAGUUGGAAACGACUGCUAAUACCGCAUACGAUCUAAUCUCGGCAUCGAGGAUAGAUGAAAGGUGGCCUCUACAUGUAAGCUAUCACUGAAGGAGGGGAUUGCGUCUGAUUAGCUCGUUGGAGGGGUAACGGCCCACCAAGGCGAUGAUCAGUAGCCGGUCUGAGAGGAUGGACGGCCACAAUGGGACUGAGACACGGCCCAGGAUCCUACGGGGAGCAGCAAUGGGGAAUCUUCCGCAAUGGACGGAAGUCUGGCGGAGCAACUCCGGGUGGGUGAUGACGGCCUUCGGGUUGUAAAGCUCUGUUAAUCGGGACGAAAGGCCUUCUUGCGAAUAGUGAGAAGGAUUGACGGUACCGGAAUAGAAAGCCACGGCUAACUACGUG